Molecule: ribosomal RNA, 622 nt
Filed under: Staphylococcus aureus
Lineage: Bacteria; Bacillati; Bacillota; Bacilli; Caryophanales; Staphylococcaceae
Description: bacterial SSU rRNA
Rfam family: Bacterial small subunit ribosomal RNA
Source: RNAcentral
AGUGAAAGACGGUCUUGCUGUCACUUAUAGAUGGAUCCGCGCUGCAUUAGCUAGUUGGUAAGGUAACGGCUUACCAAGGCAACGAUGCAUAGCCGACCUGAGAGGGUGAUCGGCCACACUGGAACUGAGACACGGUCCAGACUCCUACGGGAGGCAGCAGUAGGGAAUCUUCCGCAAUGGGCGAAAGCCUGACGGAGCAACGCCGCGUGAGUGAUGAAGGUCUUCGGAUCGUAAAACUCUGUUAUUAGGGAAGAACAUAUGUGUAAGUAACUGUGCACAUCUUGACGGUACCUAAUCAGAAAGCCACGGCUAACUACGUGCCAGCAGCCGCGGUAAUACGUAGGUGGCAAGCGUUAUCCGGAAUUAUUGGGCGUAAAGCGCGCGUAGGCGGUUUUUUAAGUCUGAUGUGAAAGCCCACGGCUCAACCGUGGAGGGUCAUUGGAAACUGGAAAACUUGAGUGCAGAAGAGGAAAGUGGAAUUCCAUGUGUAGCGGUGAAAUGCGCAGAGAUAUGGAGGAACACCAGUGGCGAAGGCGACUUUCUGGUCUGUAACUGACGCUGAUGUGCGAAAGCGUGGGGAUCAAACAGGAUUAGAUACCCUGGUAGUCCACGCCGUAAACGA